GUCAAUAUAGUUUAACUAAAACAUUAGGCUGUGGCUCUAAAAAUAGAAGAUAUUCCUUCUUACUGACC
This 68-nucleotide transfer RNA is filed under the name Microlophus occipitalis. RNAcentral describes it as "tRNA-His". It matches the Rfam family "tRNA". Rfam says of the family: Transfer RNA (tRNA) molecules are approximately 80 nucleotides in length. Their secondary structure includes four short double-helical elements and three loops (D, anti-codon, and T loops). Further hydrogen bonds mediate the characteristic L-shaped molecular structure. tRNAs have two regions of fundamental functional importance: the anti-codon, which is responsible for specific mRNA codon recognition, and the 3' end, to which the tRNAs corresponding amino acid is attached (by aminoacyl-tRNA synthetases). tRNAs cope with the degeneracy of the genetic code in two manners: having more than one tRNA (with a specific anti-codon) for a particular amino acid; and 'wobble' base-pairing, i.e. permitting non-standard base-pairing at the 3rd anti-codon position. The record is from RNAcentral. Lineage: Eukaryota; Metazoa; Chordata; Lepidosauria; Squamata; Tropiduridae.